UACGGGAGGCAGCAGUGGGGAAUAUUGGACAAUGGGCGAAAGCCUGAUCCAGCCAUGCCGCAUGAGUGAAGAAGGCCUUCGGGUUGUAAAGCUCUUUUAGUGAGAAAGAUAAUGACGGUACUCACAGAAGAAGUCCUGGCUAACUCCGUGCCAGCAGCCGCGGUAAUACGGAGAGGGCUAGCGUUAUUCGGAAUUAUUGGGCGUAAAGAGCGCGUAGGCUGAUUUAGUAAGUUAAAAGUGAAAUCCCAAAGCUUAACUUUGGAAUUGCUUUUUAAAACUGCUAGUCUAGAGAUUUGAAAGAGGAUAGAGGAAUUCCUAGUGUAGAGGUGAAAUUCGUAAAUAUUAGGAGGAACACCAGUGGCGAAGGCGUCUAUCUGGUUCAAAUCUGACGCUGAGGCGCGAAGGGCGUGGGGAGCAAACGAGGGAUUAGAUACC
RNAcentral lists this ribosomal RNA (435 nucleotides) under uncultured bacterium. Its description in RNAcentral is "bacterial SSU rRNA". It matches the Rfam family "Bacterial small subunit ribosomal RNA", at positions 340 to 786 of the family's 1533-position model. The record is from RNAcentral.